GAAAGGCGCUUUCGGGUGUCGCUGAUGGAUGGACCCGCGGUGCAUUAGCUAGUUGGUGAGGUAACGGCUCACCAAGGCGACGAUGCAUAGCCGACCUGAGAGGGUGAUCGGCCACAUUGGGACUGAGACACGGCCCAAACUCCUACGGGAGGCAGCAGUAGGGAAUCUUCGGCAAUGGACGAAAGUCUGACCGAGCAACGCCGCGUGAGUGAAGAAGGUUUUCGGAUCGUAAAACUCUGUUGUUAGAGAAGAACAAGGAUGAGAGUAACUGUUCAUCCCUUGACGGUAUCUAACCAGAAAGCCACGGCUAACUACGUGCCAGCAGCCGCGGUAAUACGUAGGUGGCAAGCGUUGUCCGGAUUUAUUGGGCGUAAAGCGAGCGCAGGCGGUUUCUUAAGUCUGAUGUGAAAGCCCCCGGCUCAACCGGGGAGGGUCAUUGGAAACUGGGAGACUUGAGUGCAGAAGAGGAGAGUGGAAUUCCAUGUGUAGCGGUGAAAUGCGUAGAUAUAUGGAGGAACACCAGUGGCGAAGGCGGCUCUCUGGUCUGUAACUGACGCUGAGGCUCGAAAGCGUGGGGAGCAAACAGGAUUAGAUACCCUGGUAGUCCACGCCGU
Molecule: ribosomal RNA, 614 nt
Filed under: uncultured bacterium
Lineage: Bacteria
Description: bacterial SSU rRNA
Rfam family: Bacterial small subunit ribosomal RNA
Source: RNAcentral